This 291-nucleotide unclassified non-coding RNA is filed under the name Hevea brasiliensis (rubber tree). Lineage: Eukaryota; Viridiplantae; Streptophyta; Magnoliopsida; Malpighiales; Euphorbiaceae. The record is from RNAcentral.
AAAAGUUAUCAGAUUAGGCCUGCACUGGGCGAUGCAUCAAUUGUUAUAUGUUGCAUUGGUGCCAGUGAAAAGGAGAUCUUUGAUGUUACUGGACCAUAUCGAAUUGAUUACCUGGCUACUAAGAACCUUAUUGAUGCAGCAACCGUCGCAAAAGUUGACCACUUUAUCUUGCUCACAUCUUUGGGAACAAACAAGGUCGGUUUUCCUGCAGCAAUUCUCAAUUUGUUUUGGGGAGUCCUCCUUUGGAAAAGGAAAGCAGAAGAGGCACUGCUUGCCAGUGGGCUUCCUUAU